GAGUUUGAUUAUGGCUCAGGAUGAACGCUAGCUACAGGCUUAACACAUGCAAGUCGAGGGGCAUCAUGGUAUUAGCUUGCUAAUACUGAUGGCGACCGGCGCACGGGUGAGUAACACGUAUCCAACCUGGCUUUCACUCAGGGAUAGCCCAUCGAAAGAUGGAUUAAUACUUGAUGGUAUAUACAUUUCGCAUGUUUUGUAUAUUAAAGAUUUAUCGGUGAUAGAUGGGGAUGCGUACCAUUAGUUUGUUGGCGGGGUAACGGCCCACCAAGACUUCGAUGGUUAGGGGUUCUGAGAGGAAGGUCCCCCACAUUGGAACUGAGACACGGUCCAAACUCCUACGGGAGGCAGCAGUGAGGAAUAUUGGUCAAUGGACGUAAGUCUGAACCAGCCAAGUAGCGUGAAGGAUGACUGCCCUCUGGGUUGUAAACUUCUUUUAUAUGUGAAUAAAUUUUCCUACGUGUAGGUU
RNAcentral lists this ribosomal RNA (469 nucleotides) under Bacteroides sp. canine oral taxon 040. Its description in RNAcentral is "bacterial SSU rRNA". It matches the Rfam family "Bacterial small subunit ribosomal RNA", at positions 9 to 468 of the family's 1533-position model. Lineage: Bacteria; Pseudomonadati; Bacteroidota; Bacteroidia; Bacteroidales; Bacteroidaceae. The record is from RNAcentral.